UGUUUUUCUGAACCUACAUGGCUACUGGA
Molecule: non-coding RNA, 29 nt
Filed under: Mus musculus (house mouse)
Lineage: Eukaryota; Metazoa; Chordata; Mammalia; Rodentia; Muridae
Source: RNAcentral